UUUGCUAGGUAAGCCUGAGGCCCUGAGUUUGAGUCCCCAGCACCCAUAUAAAAGCCUGGCAUGGAGGCCUGUGCUUGUAACCCAAUACUCAGGGGAACAGAGACAGGAGGAUGUUAGAGCUUGCUGACCAGCCAGUCUAGUCAAAAUGGUGACUUCCAGGUUCUUCGUCUCAGGAGAUAAGAUGGAGGCAGACACCUAACACUGACCUACAGCUUCCACAGCUAAGCUGGCCUGCAUUAGCCAGGGAGGGGAGAUGAAGGAAAGAAAAGAAGGAAAUCAAAAAGGAAGAGAAAGCAGGCAGGCCAGAUUUUAAGUCCAAUGUCUUAUGAGAGUCAAAACAUGUAAAAUUGCUCUGCCAAGGGACUACAAACCAUGGUGAAAACCCAGAACUUCUUCUCCCAUUCUGUACUGAUUUGGCCACAGGUACAACAAGCAGUUUGUUCCCAUGUCACUCACAGAGCAGUAAAUCCAUAGACACCCCAGCCUCUAUCUCUGCUCAGAAUGUCCUGUCUCCAUAGCUCUGCAAGUGUAUGUUCCUCCUCUAGAGCUUACUCAAUACUAAUUGACUGGGGCUGAGGAGAUGGCUUCCUACUUAAGAGCAAUGGCUGUUCUUGCAUAGUACCUCACAAUCAUCUGUAACUUCAAUUUCAGGGGAUCCAAUACCCUCUAUUGGCCUCCACAGUACCUAUGUGAUGCUCAGACACAUAUGCAUGCAAACACCCAUACACAUAAAAUAAAAAAAUCUAAAAAGGAAAAAAAAUAGGCCUAGACUUUGGGUUGAUCUCAUGACCAAGCAUCCCAUUAUAAAUGCACUCCCAGAGGCAUUAUAACAAAUUACAUAAGGCAGGGCCACGAGGGGAGACCUCCCAAAUAAGGAUGUGGCCCCAAGCCAAGGGUCAGCUGCAACCUGGCUCUUCAGGAGCCAGAAAACUGAUCUUAUCCGUGCACACGCUAUCAGUUAGAGUUCAGGGCUGCCUGGAGGGAACAUAGGGUGUCUUUGGACACACUUUGGAGUUUAGCCACUUUGUCACCCAAAAGGGAGGCAUGUACAGAGAGGAUGAUAUCAAGUUACAAAGUACAGAUCAGAGGAAGAGCUCUCCAUGUUCCAUCAUACAGAAGGGUGAUUGUGGGAGUCAAUAGCUAAAUGUCUAUUUCAAAAUAUUUUACCAGAGAAGAAUUUGAGUGGUCCCAUCACUAGAAGCUGGACUUAUAGUAUUAUAUUUAUAAUAUAUAACAUGUUAUAUAUCUCUCAUAUAUACACCCCACAUGUAUCUUUCUGCUGGGGAUGUGCCCAAUGGUGGAAUAUUUGCCUAGUGUGUAGGAAGCCUUGAGAUUCUUCCCCAGUACUUC
RNAcentral lists this long non-coding RNA (1350 nucleotides) under Mus musculus (house mouse). Its description in RNAcentral is "long non-coding RNA chr2:38945628-38946978". The record is from RNAcentral. Lineage: Eukaryota; Metazoa; Chordata; Mammalia; Rodentia; Muridae.